This is a non-coding RNA of Pelobates cultripes (western spadefoot toad), 74 nucleotides long. The record is from the annotation of a GenBank genome assembly. NCBI's taxonomy places the organism in Eukaryota, Metazoa, Chordata, Amphibia, Anura, Pelobatidae.
UUCACUGUAUAACACUAUGUGUUAAGUUUUAUAUAUAUAUAUAUAAAACUUAACACAUAGUGUUAUACAGUGAA